RNAcentral lists this ribosomal RNA (509 nucleotides) under uncultured Escherichia sp. RNAcentral's name for it is "bacterial SSU rRNA". It matches the Rfam family "Bacterial small subunit ribosomal RNA", at positions 8 to 506 of the family's 1533-position model. The record is from RNAcentral. Lineage: Bacteria; Pseudomonadati; Pseudomonadota; Gammaproteobacteria; Enterobacterales; Enterobacteriaceae.
AGAGUUUGAUCCUGGCUCAGAUUGAACGCUGGCGGCAGGCCUAACACAUGCAAGUCGAACGGUAACAGGAAGCAGCUUGCUGCUUUGCUGACGAGUGGCGGACGGGUGAGUAAUGUCUGGGAAACUGCCUGAUGGAGGGGGAUAACUACUGGAAACGGUAGCUAAUACCGCAUAACGUCGCAAGACCAAAGAGGGGGACCUUCGGGCCUCUUGCCAUCGGAUGUGCCCAGAUGGGAUUAGCUAGUAGGUGGGGUAAAGGCUCACCUAGGCGACGAUCCCUAGCUGGUCUGAGAGGAUGACCAGCCACACUGGAACUGAGACACGGUCCAGACUCCUACGGGAGGCAGCAGUGGGGAAUAUUGCACAAUGGGCGCAAGCCUGAUGCAGCCAUGCCGCGUGUAUGAAGAAGGCCUUCGGGUUGUAAAGUACUUUCAGCGGGGAGGAAGGGAGUAAAGUUAAUACCUUUGCUCAUUGACGUUACCCGCAGAAGAAGCACCGGCUAACUCCGU